UCCGAGGCUGCGGCGAGCUGGUGCGCUCGUCGGCUGCGGCGAGCUGGUGCUCUCCAAGGCCGCGGCGAGCUGGUGUUCUCCGGAGCUGUGGCAGAGACGCUCGUCGGCUGCGGCGAGCUGGUGCUCUCCGAGGCUGCGGCGACCUGGUGGUUCUCCGGAGCUAGUACUGCGGGAGCUCGCCUGCCGCACGGAGCUGGUGGCAGUGGGCGGCGGAGAUGACUGCUGCUCUCCGGAGCUGUGACUUCGGCAGCGAAGCCGAUACCGUGCGAGGCGUGGUGUCUUCAGGAUGAACGCUGUAUAUGUGUGCGCGCGGCUGUGGCUGCUGAGUGGGCAACGUACCGAAGAGGUUUUGUGUUCAGGCUUCCGUUAUCCCCGCUCAACGAGGUGUCAUUACGACACCGGGGGGAGGAUGUAGCGGACUGAGCCGGAGCGGGUUGGCCUGUGCGUUGCUCGACAGGUGGCGCUAGUUGUGGACACAGGGGGCGACGAUGUUCGUACUGACCAUUGGAUGGUGGCGCCACCCUAAGCCAGUGGUGGCGCAGAGAGUCCAGUGCGCCGCCCAUCGACGUGGCGUUUUUUGGCUGUGUGGCGCCGGCGUGAGACGCAUGGAGUUUGUGCGCCGCCGUUCGCCACAAUGUGAUUCGGUGGAAAAACUUUGAAACCUACCUACAUUCUACAUUCUACAUUCUACGUUGCUACACUGCUACUACUUCUAUCUACGUGCCCGAGACCAGGAUUCUGGGGGAGACAGAGAUCUACGUGGACCUCGGAAGCACUCUGAACCUGACCUGCACUGUCUCAUCGAGUCCCGUGCCGACUGAGUUCAUCUUCUGGUAUCGCAACGAAACGGUUGUCAACUACAGCGCGCCACCAGGCCGGGUUACCGUCAUCACUGAGGACUCUGCCGCCGCGACCACCAACUCGUACCUCAUGAUACGGAACGCACGUGUCGAGGACUCGGGCAUCUACACGUGCACCCCCUCCAACGCCAACGUGGCCAAGGUCAAGGUCCACGUGCUGAAAGGGGAGAAGCCUGCCGCGAUGCAGACCAACGGAGUCGCGACGAUAUCGGCCGCCCUGUCACUGGUCGUCAUGGCAACCGCUCGGUGGCUGAUCUAGGGCUCCAGAUACCGCGCGGCCCACUGGUGACGUCACACCUCCUGACGCGAUGACGUCACUAGUGGUGACGCGUUUGGGUCGGGCUUUACCUGUCCAACCGGCGGGGGCAGGUCGUGGCUUGGAAAAUAAAGCCAAUGAAGCGGUGCUAAGGCUCAGACCUGUGCUGAUGGAAGCUGCUGCUAGGCUGGCGACGGGUGACGAUUCGCAGCCGAGGUAUGCUGAAACGUAACCCCGAACUGCGCUGUGACCUGUGACGUCAGAGGUCACUGACCGAGUGUUCUCCGUCAGCUGUCAGCCGCUAGCGGACAGAUCAGGCAGUGAAUCACAUGGUGGCUACAAAUUAGGUGGACCACUGACAACAGGAAGCCGUGAUGACGUCAUCAGAAGAGACGUUCCCGACUGGUGCGUAAAACAAAGGCCGGGUCGAGAGUGCUCAGCUGAGGGCCGUGGUUACAGUCUACAGAUGUGGUGAAAUCAGAGGGGUUCUAUCGAAUAGGCUGGGACAGAGCCGGGCCUGGGUCUACGGUAAGAGAGACAGGACGAAUGCUAUCGUCUAAUUUAUGUAGCGUCGAGGUUCGUAAUGUUGACUGUACCUUUUGUUUUCAAAUGACGCAAAGAUGGCUCCGAAGGCUACUAAGAUAUGAAUUACUGAAUAUCGAUGACAAAUGUUAGGCUUUUUUUUAAUCUGUAGGGUUCAUUGCGUUGUAUUUUUUUCCGGAAUGGUUGAGACGAGGUGUUAGUAUAAGAGAAGCUGGGUGUUAAGCUCUCGUUCCCGUCUUGAAUUAGUUGUUAUCUUCACUGCUGUUCACUGCUGUGAACUGCUGUGCUGGUUUUGUUCGGUUGAGGAAAUCGUAUAUUGUGAGCAAAUGUGAAAGAGUGUGUUCGUGGAUUCUAUACGUACGAAGCUCGUUGUGUCACGCGGCAUUGUGAGUGUUCUUUGUGACUGCCUGUUCCCCAAGAGCUUCUUUGUUAACAAAAUGUGAGCUGUUUUGUCUCUCAGUGAUGUACAACGGUCAUUUACUUUCCGACAUUUAUUAUUCCGCGCGGAGUCCACCGUAGACUCUAGUGGGGGUCAGCGGGCGUGCUUCGAAUGUUCUCCGACCUUAAUUUCCACCACCCAUUUGAAUCUGACCUCAGAGGGAUUUAUCAUUGCCCCCAUCGCAGCUAGUUUUUCUACCUGACUGAUUCGUCGAUAUAUUGCGACUGCGUUUAUCGGAGCAGUGAAGUGACCAUCCUGGACAGACCCAUUGCCCGUCCCAGACACUCGCAUUAUGGGGUCGGUCGGGCUCUCAGAUACCGCCUGCGGCUAGCAGACGGACUCUACUCUGAUUGGCCGGGUUCAGCACCGCCCGCCGGCGUUCGACUGGGCCGGCCGCCGAGCGAAUUCGAAUGUGGCAGAGGAGAGCUCAUGGCAUCUCUGCCGGGAUCUCAUCCGAUUUAUCGGCGCCAGAUAUUGAAGUUUCCCAGUAGAUUUAUGGGGCCGCUGCGUAGUGAGCCGUCGCGAAAAACGUGAGCAUGAUGUCGUCAGUAAAUCGUCGGCAUCCGCUGUUGACGCGAGCGCGGCGGCCCGGUCCGGAAGGGGUCCAUUACUGCGGGCGCGACCGGGGAACGGUGUACAGUUUGUUUGGAGAUGUCGUCAUGACCGAGAAAUGCGAGAGCCGCGGCCAGCCUGUCGCCUGGCAUUGCUUGGAAGGACGAUUUGUCUUUCGGAUACUGCGAAUGUCAGUGAUGUUGUUGCGGGUGAAUGUUGACACGGCCAUUCGAGCUGAAAUAAAGUCCCGUUGUGUUCGUGUAUUUACAAAACAA
This 2925-nucleotide unclassified non-coding RNA is filed under the name Amphibalanus amphitrite. RNAcentral's name for it is "zwei Ig domain protein zig-8-like, transcript variant X5". Lineage: Eukaryota; Metazoa; Arthropoda; Thecostraca; Balanomorpha; Balanidae. The record is from RNAcentral.